UCAUUUGCCCGCCGUCGCCGAGCCAUUCCGAGCCGUGACAAGCCGUGCCGAACCGUGCCGUUUCGCCGCAAUGAUGCCUUGCAGGACCCUGCGCAAAUCUGCACCACCCGCCGCAGCGGUGCGGGUGUGAGCGCUGUGCCUGUGCUUUGCAGAGCGGGACGCGGUGGCGGAGUGCGCGCUGGAGCUGCGCAGGAUCGGCGACAAGGCGGACCUGCGACAGAGGAUCCUGAACCUCAUCGCAAAGCUGUUCUGCCCCAAAACGUGAGCCCCCCACUCUCGGCGGGGCACAGGAAGAGAGGGAAGACCUUGGCUUUGCAGAUCUGGAACGAGAGACUUCGCUUAUACUGGGGGAUGGAGAAAGCUCUUUGCAUCGCGUUUUGCUACCCGGAGCCACCGGAGGAUGGCUGUCGCAACAUGAUUUCUUUGGAUAGUGUUACAGCAUCAUCGGCCUAUGGAUGCCAGGCUGGAAGGAAGCUAGCGCUGGGCAGAGCCCCUAGGGCCGGGGGGCCGCGGGGCAGGAUGCAGCCGGGCACAACCUGUCGUGGCAUCCUUCAGUCCCCGCAGCUACGUCUCACCUUCGGGAACAAUCCAAAACCAUGAUAAUAAUUAAAGAAAAGUCAGCAUCUUGGAACGCGGGACCGUCUGUCACGAGGUGAAAGGCAGCGUUCAGGUUCUGACUGUUCUCGUUUCCUAAAGCUCGGAUUCUGCUGGACGGGGGGGGGCGGGUGUGUGUGGUGAUGGGGAUGUCUCAGUCGUUAAUUAAACCACUGUCUUUAUUGAAAGGUUAUUUGCUGUUAAAAAGUUGUUUCACAGACUAAAAACUACAAUUCUAUGAAUUAACAUGAUAUUGUGUAAUUCUAGUCUAUAUUAUAUAUAUAUGUACAUAUUUAUAUUUAUAUAUAUAUAAUAUAUAUUUAUGCAAAUAUGUGUACCCUGCUUGCAUGAAAGGAGUAUUUCACAGAACUAUCAAUUGAAUGCUACUUUUUUACUCUCAAAAAACAGUAUGGAAAAGUGUUCAAAACAUGACAAAAAUAUAUAUAUCUAUAUUAACUAGAAGAAAACAUAAUGUUUUCUGAUCGUAAAAGAAAUACCCCGUGCAUCGCAGAAGGGAACAUACUUUAGUAUAUCGUUAAAUAUGACGUAUGAAUAGAUAUUAUACAAAUACAGAUAUUGAGGUAUUUGAGUUUAGGGGAAGGAAUUCUUUCAACAUCAUAAAGAAUUUCUUGAGAACAAUACGAUACCACUCUGUAUUUCUAUAAGUAACAAUAUAGCUCUUAGAAAAAGAAAAAAAAAAGUAGAUCUUAAAGCUGAAUCUGAGUUUUCUUAUGUACAUUAUUUUUUCAAAAAAGGCAGCUAUGUCUCUUUGAAGAAAUAAUCUCAAUAGAACUGAAUGUUACAGUCAGUACAGGAAAGUAUCCUCGGGUUUUUAAAUGUUCAGUGAUACUUACAAGCAGAGGGUCUUCCCCUGUACUUCACUUCCAUUUCAUUUCAUGGUAUCCUCAUCUAAGUUCCGGAACGAUGAAGCUGCUGUAGUACACCCGGUGAAUGGUGAUGUGUUACGCCUAUCUCACUGAGGGGUUCCCCUCGGCUGGCUUUGAAGGAGCUGAACUAAGCAUGCAGCUCGCUCUUGAGGCAAGUGCUAACCCUGCUUGUCUGUUCUUGUCAGACGUGACCCCAAACAGUGUUCUUUCUAGCAAGAAAAUGCUUGUAGCCGGUCACGUUUUGUUACUACCUCUUCAGUCAGUGUUCAGAAGUAUGCAAAAUAACCAUCUCCUUCCGGAGAUGCAGCAUGAAAAGAAACAUGAAGUCAUACUCUCGCUUCUCUUACUAACCUCUGCUUUGGUAUGUACGUUUGCACUGUGUAAGGGUGCAUAGCUGCACCUCCUGAAUUCUGGCUCAAAUUACAGUUCUUCCUGCCUUGUAGCGAUGUCUUGCUUGUAUUUAUAAUGUGUUUUUCAGCUAGCUCUUCUGAACCUGCCUUUGCAAAAUGGUCGUUGCAUAGCUUACAUAGCUUUGCUCGCUGUCACGACCAACCAUGUGUGGCUGUUACUCGCGGACAGUGAUUUCGCUGAGCAGAAGGGGGCUGACUUUGCCUUCUGCUUGGAGGACUUCACCCAGUUUCAUCAGUGUUACUGGGAGCUUUGCAGUUGGCUUGAGCCAGAGGUACAGUUUCUUCCUCCUCUAAGCCAGCCAACACUUUUCUAGUGAGAACGUAAUGUUUCGCACAUAGCUGUUAUUCACCUUAGUGUCGCAAAGUAGCAUGUUUUGCUGACAUGUACAUAAGUCGGUUUUCCCAGUAUUAAAAAGUAAAUGCAAAGAGUUUUUGUUAAACACCGGUGUCCAGGCAAAGCUGCUCACCAGGGGCAGCCCUGAGCAUGGUGGAAAUAGUGCAGCUGCAAGCCCUUGGCACAGGCAGCCCUGCAAACUUCAUCGGGGGCACUGCGCCUGUCUGGGCCCCCCAGAAACAUGCAGCAUUAGCAUUCACAGUAGUAGCUGAAAUGUAUUUGGGUAAGAGUGUUCUGUCUAAUGUAUGCUGCUUUGAAAUUUGAUAGAAAAGUAGGUGCAGGGCUCAUAGAGCCUGGCCAAUAAUUUAGGCUGUAGCACACAAAAAUGUUACCCCCCCCAAAAAAAGUAUUGUAUCCCCAUAAAUGCAUUGUCUUGGGGCCAUCUAAGUUAAGUACCAGUGCAGUGUUUUUCUGUCUAGAUCUGCAAGGACUAUUUGUUUUUUGUGAAAAGUUUUUAUGUUUCUCUGAAACUUGUCAAGAGUGCUAGCAUCCGCACUGAGCUCACGAAAAAGACCUAAAUUAAAGUGAUCAAUGCUAGUACAUGAGCAAAUACUCAUAGUUGUCUUCCCUAAGUAUCCUUUUAUUACUUCGCCAAACCAUCUGCUAUUGUAUGAUUAAAAAUAUGAGUUUGUUUUUCUUAAGGCCCAUUCUGGAUACGGGCUGGUUAUUUCACUGUAUGUCCUAUGCAUGUAUGUCUUGAGUUCUUGUUGAGAUAAUAAAUAUGAAAUGCUAGCAA
Molecule: RNA transcript, 3021 nt
Organism: Cygnus olor (mute swan)
Lineage: Eukaryota; Metazoa; Chordata; Aves; Anseriformes; Anatidae
Gene: PMAIP1
Gene name: phorbol-12-myristate-13-acetate-induced protein 1
Exons: 2
Source: RefSeq, a predicted model, not a curated record